Molecule: non-coding RNA, 6719 nt
Organism: Equus caballus (horse)
Lineage: Eukaryota; Metazoa; Chordata; Mammalia; Perissodactyla; Equidae
Source: RefSeq, a predicted model, not a curated record
AUCUGUCGUCUGUAAGAUUGCACGUGGGUCUGGGACUAUCAUCUCUCACACCUCUGUGGAAAAAUACCUAAAAUAGUUCAGUUACACACUGGUGAACUUAUGAGAAAUAUAUUCGUCUCCUAACUUUUGGAGAGUGCAUAAGGCUACAUGUUGAUAUUUCAAAUUAAAUAAAAAAGGAUUGGCGUCUUUAGACAUUUCUGUACCUCGCUGCCUAACCUCUAGCUACUUUUAGAAGUACACACUACAUCUUCUGGGACGAUGCUUGCCUGAGGGAAAAAAACACAUUCAAGGUGCUUUUGGGACUUCACAUUCUUUCAGACUCAUAAGCUUUUGUUGGCUAUGACAGACAGGUAAGGCAGAAUCUAGGCUGCGAGCUUUCUAGGCUCUUUGGAAUCGCCCCCUUGUUCUAUAUGCCUGGAAAUGAGGUCACAGACCGUGAGAUGCAAGGAUGUAGGUUUGGAGUCACACUGAGGAAUGAGCUUCCCCAGCAUUGGGCUCAGCUCAGCAGCUCUUUAUUAUGCAAGUGCAGAGACAAGCAUUUGGAACCUCUUCCCCUGCUGAUUAAUGUCAGAAGAAAAUGGAGGUUUCUCUAGGACUCCCUUCUCCACUUUGACCCAUGCUUCCUCAGGGCUUGAUCACCGUAUCUUUUAUGCAUCCCCAACAGCCCAGAUGAUUCCAUCUAGCCUUGCAGCCUGUUUCCCCGACAAAACAGCAGGAAUGCUAUCUCUGCAUCUUCUAUGCAUAUUUCUAGAAUGUUUCUGCAUUCAUUCUGCCACCUGCCACCCUCCACUUCCCUGAGCCCCAUGAUUCUGCUGCAUCCUUCCCAAGGUUGACAUCUUCCAGCCAAGCCCUUGAACUAGUUUGCCUGCAAACACUUAUUCAUUCUUUAGGACCAAGUGCAAGCGUCGCCUCCUCUGAGAAGCCUCCCCGACACUUUGAGGAGGAGAUUGUGAGUUCCUGAAGGACAGGGGUGAUGUUCUCUCCAUUUUUAUACAGCUGUUCAUUAAUGCGGAGCCUGAUACUAAUACCCCUCAAUUUGUGCUUGCGCAAUAAAUGGAAUGAAUUGAAAUUUUCUCAUCUGGAUGUUUUUCCUGUCCUUUACUACUGAGUCUAAAACAUUAACAUCAAUGAUAAAAUCUUGAGUAUAAUUAUUGAAUUAGAGUCUUCCUUGGCAGGAGCUACCUUUUGGGAGUAAGCUAAGUUUUUUGGAAGUUUCAAGAUAUGUUUAGGACGCUGGUUCUGUUCACACCACUGAAGUACGAUAUUAACAGAAUUACGUUAAUCAUGUUGCAGUAUAUUAUGUAAAUAAUUACAUGUUUUCAAUUUAGUGCACUGAUAUGACAAUUUGUUAAAUGAUAAAGUCGUGAACUAAAUAACCAAUGGCAAAGACUCCAAAACUACUUAACGUAUAAAUCUGUUUUUAUUUAAUUUUGGUCUGGAACUAUUACUUUAAUGGUGCUAUAUUGUAACUAGGUUAUUGUCAUAUAAUGACUCACUUUAGCCAGAAUAUAUGUGCAAGUAACAACCAAACGUAACAUAAGCUCUAUGGCGUUAGAAAAGUCAAGCCACAUAUCCUUUUUCCUGUAUAAUAACCACAAAUGCUUUUCAAUGAAAAAACUUGAAAUAAUUCUGUUUAUAUUCACUCACUUAUUUGCAAAAAUAUGGUCCAGAUAUGAUAUCUGCCUUCUUUAUGCUUUUCUCAUAAAGAAUGCUUAGUACCAAGUUACAAGUGUACAAUGGACACGAAUUCCAGACUUGUGGAUUCUGUUAUUCUUUCUUUCCCUAAAAUUAAACCGAAAUGUAUAAUUUUGUUGGUUGACUUUGUUGACUUCCAGAAAAAAAACAACUUGCAACAUUUAUGACAGCCCUCGACUUAAAUUCAUCUGCUUGCAGAGCUGGUUUUAAAAUGAAGGAAAGUACUCCCCCUGCUGUGGGGAUGUGUGGUGUUCUGUUUUACGCUGUGUUUAUUUCUGCUGGGGAAUACUGCUGCUCAUCGAGUUUCAGGUUGCUGGGUUUCUCUAAACAGGGAUUUGCGUGGGAGUAGAGACUGUGGGGGGACAGAGAGGGCAUGCUGCUCUGGGGAGGCUCAGCUCCUUCCUCUGCUGAGCAACUCUGCAGGGAGGCGGCCAGUGCCCCCGUGGGAGUGCACAGUAGAAGCCAAGGCAGAAAAGAAACUUUGCUUUCAGAGAGCGUUUGAAAGCUGAAAGGAUGUCAGUUUUGCUAUUCUCUGGCAAAAUAGCCAAACCGGUUUCAGUAUCCUGUGUUAAUCAGGUCUGGGCUUGUUUGGCUCAGCAAAGAGAUUUCAAAUAUACAGGGCAAAAGAGUUUCCUUGGAGCUUCAGGAGGUCAACGGCUCUAGGAUUUAGCUAGUGAGCGGGGAGGGUACAGAUGCUGCUUGUUAAUACCCAGGUGAAUACUCUUGAGCCUGAAUGAGAUAAUGCCCAAGAUACCCAUGUGGUAAUCAUGUCAUAGCUAGACCCCGGGGAAUGUAACUCUAAGUGUAAAAUUCACCCAUUCCACAAAUAUCCAUUAAAUGCCUACUUUGUGCCAGACUCUGUGCCCCACGAAAUGUCAGGGUAGAGUACGUCUCAAUCUCAUGGAGUUUAGAGACGAAACUUGUUCUAUCAAUUUUUCCACAACUCUAGGAACGAAAAAAAAAAAAGAGAUCUAGAGUUGGAGGGACCCAAAAUUUAUGCCCCUGGACUUUCUCUAUUAAGUUCCUACCUCAAGUGAGAACCUGGUAGAAUGAAUCGAUCAUGAUCAAUUCAUAAAAUGAUUUCCUUUGGAGAAGUGUGCUUGCUGGGCUGCAUGUUAGAAUCCCCAGGCGGGCUUUUGAGAAAUACCAACACCAAGGGCCCACUCAGGACAAGGGAAGUCAGUGUUUCUUGGGGGUGGGAGGCCCAGGCAUCAGUAUUUCAAGGCUCCCAGGUGAUUCUAAUGAACAGCCAGCUUUAAGCAUUUUGGUUUAUUUUGAUAAAUAGGGGUAGUUUGGAAAUUUCACCCCUGAGUCAUAUAUAAAGUGAAGUGGCAUAUUAUAUUUUGUCAGCCUAUGGGUGAAAGCCACUUGAAUUAUAUGGCCCCUGCUGCCAGAGGGAACUCUUGGAAUUCUGUGAGAGAGGUAUUCCUGAUUUUGGAGUAAAACCACUGUGGGGUUGCGGGAAGAUAGAAUAUAUGCCCCUGUGAAGGCCUGAUAAAUCUUGACCAGGAGCGGAAAUUUGGUGUGCAGAAAAUGACAAGUUAGAAUUUGGAUGAUGGAUCUUGUGGGGAGAGGAGGCUGUGGUGAUGGGGAUACCCCUAGAACAGGUUUUGGGGCGGCUUGGCUGAAAAAAUCCCAUGUGGUAAAAGCUAAAGAGGGGACCUUUUAUUUGCUUGGAAAGAACGACAGAUAAGGGAGUUAGUCAAUGGGGAGAUUUAGAGGCCCUGAAAACUCCAGCGAAAAGAGACAAGAUUCCAGAACUUACUUUUCUGACACAAGAAAAUGGAUGGGACCUUCGCUGUUUAAGUGCUAUCUCUUAGCAAUGGAGGGAGAGUGCAGCUCUUGUCAAAUAAAGGAGGGCUUCACUGUAGCACCUGCUGUGAGUGGAUCAGCCAGCGUGGAGUGUCUUUUCCCUCCAGAAACCACUUUGCUGAAGUGCUCUUAAUGUGGGGAGAUGCGCAACACUUCCUCUGCAGCUGUGGCCCUUCACCUGGAGAAACGAAAUGAAAGAGGACUAAGAGGCGAGACGUGAAAAGUACAGUUAGGAGUUGAGAGUUGCUGAAUUGUGGUUCUCCCAGCCAAUUAAGAGCAGGUUUGGAUGGUCCAGGAAGCAUCACGCGGCAGCCUCUCUCAGAGAGGAAAUAGGGCCCUGUGGGUUAAAAUGAAGAUGCUGGAAGACGAGGACGGAGGUUUUUCUUCGUUGGAAGACAUGGAAAUUGGGUUAAGUUUGUAGAGAGGGCUCUACAUGGAAAUGAGUAGGAGAAAUUGCUUCUCUCAGUUUCUGUAAUUCGACGUGUUUAAAUGGGAUGUAGGCUAAGUGAGGUUAGGUAUAUUUGCUGUAAUUUGAGGGAGAGCUAUGACCCAUACUAACUGUAGAAUUUCAUGCAGUGCUUUAUGCUCAAGUCACAACAGCAUCGAAGAUCUGGGAGCUUAUUGACUGAACUCUGAGCCUGCAAUCAUGGACUCACAUUGAACCAGAAUAAUUUUUUCCAGCCCUUAAUUACUUGAGAGUGACUUGUGAAAUGAUUAACUUGGUUAAUUUAUCCACUGAUCAGGUAUCAGUUGAGACUCUCCUCUCUGCCAGGCACUGUUCCGGGCCGUGGGGUAUUGCAAAAAUCCAAGUAGAAAAUAUCGCUCACUGUGGAGCUGACACUCUUGUAGGAAUGGUGAGAUUCAGUUGAUAUUUAUCUUAUUUGACUGCUCAGGUGGUAAGAAGGAUCAGGUUAGGUAUAGGGCAGAUAGGUGAGCUGAACCAGCCUGGGCCAUUUGGAUAUCCUCCUUUAAAAAAGAAAAGAAAUACAAAUUUUACAAGUAACCAGGCAUUUCAGCUGGGCAUAUACUUUGAGUAGUUUUCCUUUCUGCUCCUGAAUUUGCCCAGAUUCAUCCACAGUUGGGGGAAAUGGAAUAGAGUGAAGUUAGCUGGCCUAAAAUGAUCAAACACUGUCCUUGGCCUCUUUCGCUACAUGUUUCCUUGAGUGAUUAAUUAUCUGUGGACUUGAGAUUGAUGUUGGGAACCAAAUCGAAAUCAGUCUCAGAGGUAUUUACUUUGGUGAUUUAAGAUAAGGAGUUUCAACUGUAAUUCAUAGACUCCACAUUAUUCACCGUUAUCUCUGGUGGGGAUUUUAAUCAAUGUUAUACUGUCUUCUACUUAACUGUUUGUUACACUGCUAUAUGCAUACAUAUACAUAAAAGAACAAAACACCCACAUCAAAUAAGUAGAAAUAUAUUCAUUGAAAAAUAUGCAACAGACCCUCAUUAAAACUGAUUUCUUUUUCUUUCUCAGAUUCAGAAAUGCAAUAAGGCUAAUUGUGUUGCCUAGAAAAACUGAUUUUUUUAAGCAAAGAAAUAUUUUUUUGGCUGAAGAACCCAUUCCUUGCCCCUCUCACUUUGCUGUUCAAAGGCCUCGUAUGAGGAUCUAAUGUAUUCAGUAUGAAGUAGAUAAAAGUGAAGCUGUUCAGGAGGAAGCAGCCAUGGGCCGGGGACGCACGGAGCCCAAUCUACCAGCUGCCCAAGCAGGGAGCUCACCUCCCAGGCACUUUUAGGAGUCAAGGGUGGGGUGGAGAGUUGCCAUUCACUGAGACACAAGAGUGUGGUGGGAAAGCUGGACACAGGGUGUGCCAGUUGGAAGCAGCAGUCCAUCCUGGCCCUAAAAUAUCACUGAUAUAACUCUGAAAAUGGUAGUACCUUAACUCUGGUCUCUACCCACUAUAACUCAUGAAACGUAUACGGGGUCUAGAGUGCCCUAGAUAACCCUUGAGUGGAAAUUUAAAGAAAACAUGUUGGGACUGGCCCCAUGGCCAAGUGGUUAAGUUUGUGUGCUCCACUUUGCUGGCCUGGGGUUCGCCAGUUGGGAUCCUGGGCGUGGACCUAUGCACUGUUCGUCAGGCCAUGGUAUGGUGGCAUCCCGCAUGAAGGAACUAGAAUGACCUACAGCUAGGAUAUACAACUAUGCACUGGGGCUUUGGGAAGAAAAAAAAGAGGAAGAUUGGCAGCAGAUGUUAGCUCAGGGCCUAUCUCCUCACCAAAAAAAAAAAGUGAUAAAUCUUGAUAUUCUGUGCCCUCGAUAUGAUGUGGUGAAAAUGGCACUAAAAAAAAAGAAAAUAUGUUUAUGGAAUAUCAACUUGAAUGGACGCAAACUUUUUAGUUGCCUGGGACACCCUGCAUCCUGUCUUGGCCCUCCAGACACCCCAGGGCUUGAUCCCCAGCCCUGCCACUUACUUGGCUGUGUGCUCUUGGGAAAAUUGUUAAUAGUUCAUAGUCUUGAUUUCCUGAUGUGGAGAUGAUAAUGUCUGCUUUGCAGGGCUUUUGUGACAAUGAAACCUAAACACAGUAAGUAAAUGAUGACUAGCAGAUCCAUAGCUAGCAAUGUAACCAGGAGAAACAGAGCAAAAUGCCCCCUAACACCUUUAGGAGGGUUGGGGAAGAGAUUGUCUCUGCUCAGCCACAAAGGGGCUCCUAGACCUGACAGCUCCAUCCUCCACUUCUGGCUGCCAGUGGCAUCAAUGGGGUGGGCCUAGAUCAGAGACAAAGUUGCCAACAGGGCUUUCUAAGGGUAGAGGGAGCUUAAACAUUUGUACAAUUAAGAAAUCGUGCUAAAAAGGUUUUGCUUCAUCUAAAUUUUGAUGUCCAAGGUCAAAGCCUUGGCCAUGCCAUUUAAAUUCAAGUGCUGAUUAGUAUUGUCUCAAGACUGCACCCAAUUUAGUCUUCACAAAUACCUUUUGAGUUUGGACUUUUCUCUCCAUUUUACAGGCAAGGGUAAGGUCUCUCACGUAGUUGGGGAUUAUCAACCUAGAACCAAAAUGAAAUGUGUGUAGUUCGUACACAGUUUAUACCCAACCGUGUAGACCUGGGCUUGGGUUCUACAGAGUGAAAGGCAAAGGUUAGUAUAUCAAAAAAAUUGGAUGGGUGGGUUUGUCAUGAGAAAAACUCACAGAGCUUCCUCAUGAAAGUAUGUGACAUUGGGUCUUCACUGAGAUUUGUAUUUUAAAAUCUCAAGUCUCUGGUCUGUUUUAACUUUUGAACCA